RNAcentral lists this small RNA (67 nucleotides) under Erwinia billingiae. RNAcentral describes it as "RybB RNA". It matches the Rfam family "RybB RNA". From Rfam's summary of the family: This ncRNA was identified in a large scale screen of E. coli. The function of this short RNA is unknown. Lineage: Bacteria; Pseudomonadati; Pseudomonadota; Gammaproteobacteria; Enterobacterales; Erwiniaceae. The record is from Rfam by way of RNAcentral.
ACUGCUUUUCUUUGAAAUCCCCUAAAUUGUGGAGCCCGUUAAUCAUAUGAUUGGCGGGUUUUUUUCU